GAGAGCCGUAUGCACAGAAAUGUGCACGUACGGUUCGGUGGGGGGGCAACGGCUAACCCGUUCUGGGCGCACGUGCCCUACCCAAC
Molecule: non-coding RNA, 86 nt
Organism: Citrobacter rodentium ICC168
Lineage: Bacteria; Pseudomonadati; Pseudomonadota; Gammaproteobacteria; Enterobacterales; Enterobacteriaceae
Source: Rfam